UACGAAGGGAGCUAGCGUUGUUCGGAAUCACUGGGCAUAAAGCGCACGUAGGCGGAUUUGCCAGUCAGGGGUGAAAUCCCGGGGCUCAACCUCGGAACUGCCUUUGAUACAGCAAGUCUUGAGUUCGAGAGAGGGAUGCGGAAUUCCAGGUGUAGCGGUGAAAUGCGUAGAUAUCUGGAGGAACACCGGUGGCGAAGGCGGCGUUCUGGACUGCAACUGACACUGAGAAACGAAAGCCAGGGUAGCAAACGGG
This 253-nucleotide ribosomal RNA is filed under the name uncultured bacterium. Its description in RNAcentral is "partial 16S ribosomal RNA". It matches the Rfam family "Bacterial small subunit ribosomal RNA", at positions 524 to 776 of the family's 1533-position model. The record is from RNAcentral.